Molecule: ribosomal RNA, 254 nt
Filed under: uncultured bacterium
Lineage: Bacteria
Description: partial 16S ribosomal RNA
Rfam family: Bacterial small subunit ribosomal RNA
Source: RNAcentral
UACGAGGGGGGCUAGCGUUGCUCGGAAUCACUGGGCGUAAAGCGCACGUAGGCGGAUUCCUAAGUCGGUGGUGAAAUCCUGGAGCUCAACUCCAGAACUGCCUCCGAUACUGAGAGUCUUCGAGUCCGGGAGAGGUGAGUGGAACUGCGAGUGUAGAGGUGAAAUUCGUAGAUAUUAGGAAGAACACCAGUGGCGAAGGCGGCUCACUGGUCCGGUACUGACGCUGAGGUGCGAAAGCGUGGGGAGCAAACAGG